GACGAACCGUGCGAACGUUGUUCGGAAUAACUGGGCUUAAAGGGUGCGUAGGCGGGUCCGCCAGUCUGUGGUGAAAUCCUCCCGCUCAACGGGAGAACUGCCGUGGAUACUGCGGACCUCGAGGAAGAUAGGGGCGUGCGGAACAGUUGGUGGAGCGGUGAAAUGCGUUGAGAUCAACGGGAACUCCGGUGGCGAAGGCGGCACGCUGGGUCUUUUCUGACGAUGAGGCACGAAAGCUAGGGGAGCAAACGGG
Molecule: ribosomal RNA, 253 nt
Filed under: uncultured bacterium
Lineage: Bacteria
Description: partial 16S ribosomal RNA
Rfam family: Bacterial small subunit ribosomal RNA
Source: RNAcentral